AGCAGCCGCGGUAAUUCCAGCUCCAAUAGCGUAUAUUAAAGUUGUUGCAGUUAAAAAGCUCGUAGUUGAAUUUCGGGGUCAGUAGGUUGGUCGUGCCACCGGUACGUACUGGUCUCACUGAUUCCUCCUUCCUGAUGAGCUGUAAUGCCAUUAAUUUGGUGUUGCAGGGAAUCUGGGCUGUUACUUUGAAAAAUUAGAGUGUUUAAAGCGGGCUAACGCUUGAAUACAUUAGCAUGGAAUAAUGAAAUAGGACGUUCGAUCCUAUUUUGUUGGUUUCUAGGAUUGACGUAAUGAUUAAUAGGGAUAGUUGGGGGCAUUAGUAUUCAAUUGUCAGAGGUGAAAUUCUUGGAUUUAUUGAAGACUAACUACUGCGAAAGCAUUUGCCAAGGAUGUUUUCAUUAAUCAAGAACGAAAGUUAGGGGAUCGAAGACGAUCAGAUACCGUCGUAGUCUUAACCAUAAACUAUGCCGACUAGGGAUCGGAUGAUGUUAAUUUUUAAUGACUCAUUCGGCGCCUUAAC
This 520-nucleotide ribosomal RNA is filed under the name uncultured Glomus. RNAcentral's name for it is "SSU rRNA". It matches the Rfam family "Eukaryotic small subunit ribosomal RNA", at positions 569 to 1092 of the family's 1831-position model. The record is from RNAcentral. Lineage: Eukaryota; Fungi; Glomeromycota; Glomeromycetes; Glomerales; Glomeraceae.